This 311-nucleotide long non-coding RNA is filed under the name Elaeis guineensis (African oil palm). RNAcentral describes it as "long non-coding RNA (EGUI_LNC026998)". Lineage: Eukaryota; Viridiplantae; Streptophyta; Magnoliopsida; Arecales; Arecaceae. The record is from RNAcentral.
CACCAGGGAGUUGACACAAUUCACCAGAGUUGGUGGCUUAAAGCACCAAUCUAAUCAUGUCACGUGCCAUGCCAUAAAUGAAGGUAUUUAGAGAAAAAAAUAAAGGAUUAAUAAAAGGCUAUGUCCCAUUUCAUGCGCAUCGGCGCUACCCCCGCCGUCGCACCGGCGCCCCAGCAAUCCCUUGGUCCUCGAUGGGCCGCCAUCACUCCUCAUCGUAGGCCUCCACAAUACCCACAUCUGCAUGGUAAUCUUGCUAUUCUUUCGCCACCAAAAGGGCUAACGGUGGUUUGGCUCUCUGGGACAAUCCCUCA